GGCACCUUCGGCGGCCGAAUGUGCAUGACAGAUCCGAAAGUCCACCUUCCGGAAGCAGCCUUCGGCAGCCAAAGCCACCUCCACAAGGCAUUCGGCGGCCGAAACUCACUUCGGCGGCCGAACCUGAGUUCUUCCAGAACCCAGUUCAUGCACCAACACCUCUCCUCAACCCUUCCUCACAUACCCAACAUGCAUAAAACCUCCUCAAGACAUGUAUAGACCUCUAAACAUACCCAAGACAUAUAUAGACCUCUAAACAUACCCAAAGAGGCCUAAAACACUCUUAAACUCUAACAACAAUAACAUAUAAACACAUAGUGCACAAAGGGUCCCUAAAACCCUCCCAUGCACACCCAUGCUCAUCUAACCCUUUCUUCCCAUAAAACUCCUAAAACUAUCCAUCAAACAUGCUUAAAACAUCAUAAAACGUAGAGAUCAACCCUUACCUCUUGAGUUGGUGUGACCUCAACUUCAAA
RNAcentral lists this long non-coding RNA (476 nucleotides) under Manihot esculenta (cassava). RNAcentral's name for it is "long non-coding RNA (MESC_LNC000312)". Lineage: Eukaryota; Viridiplantae; Streptophyta; Magnoliopsida; Malpighiales; Euphorbiaceae. The record is from RNAcentral.